RNAcentral lists this ribosomal RNA (301 nucleotides) under uncultured bacterium. RNAcentral's name for it is "partial 16S ribosomal RNA". It matches the Rfam family "Bacterial small subunit ribosomal RNA", at positions 509 to 807 of the family's 1533-position model. The record is from RNAcentral.
CAGUAGCCGCGGGAAUACAGAGGGUGCGAGCGUUAAUCGGAAUUACUGGGCGUAAAGGGCGCGUAGGCGGUUAGGAAGGUGUGAUGUGAAAGCCCUGGGCCUAACCUAGGAAGUGCAUCGCAAACCAACUAGCUGGAGUAUAAGAGAGGGUGGCGGAAUUUCCGGUGUAGCGGUGAAAUGCGUAGAGAUCGGAAGGAACGUCAAUGGCGAAGGCAGCCACCUGGCUUAAUACUGACGCUGAGGCGCGAAAGCGUGGGGAGCGAACAGGAUUAGAUACCCCGGUAGUCCCUGUCUCUUAUAC